Molecule: ribosomal RNA, 1415 nt
Filed under: Bacillus pumilus
Lineage: Bacteria; Bacillati; Bacillota; Bacilli; Caryophanales; Bacillaceae
Description: bacterial SSU rRNA
Rfam family: Bacterial small subunit ribosomal RNA
Source: RNAcentral
GCGUGCCUAAUACAUGCAAGUCGAGCGGACAGAAGGGAGCUUGCUCCCGGAUGUUAGCGGCGGACGGGUGAGUAACACGUGGGUAACCUGCCUGUAAGACUGGGAUAACUCCGGGAAACCGGAGCUAAUACCGGAUAGUUCCUUGAACCGCAUGGUUCAAGGAUGAAAGACGGUUUCGGCUGUCACUUACAGAUGGACCCGCGGCGCAUUAGCUAGUUGGUGGGGUAAUGGCUCACCAAGGCGACGAUGCGUAGCCGACCUGAGAGGGUGAUCGGCCACACUGGGACUGAGACACGGCCCAGACUCCUACGGGAGGCAGCAGUAGGGAAUCUUCCGCAAUGGACGAAAGUCUGACGGAGCAACGCCGCGUGAGUGAUGAAGGUUUUCGGAUCGUAAAGCUCUGUUGUUAGGGAAGAACAAGUGCGAGAGUAACUGCUCGCACCUUGACGGUACCUAACCAGAAAGCCACGGCUAACUACGUGCCAGCAGCCGCGGUAAUACGUAGGUGGCAAGCGUUGUCCGGAAUUAUUGGGCGUAAAGGGCUCGCAGGCGGUUUCUUAAGUCUGAUGUGAAAGCCCCCGGCUCAACCGGGGAGGGUCAUUGGAAACUGGGAAACUUGAGUGCAGAAGAGGAGAGUGGAAUUCCACGUGUAGCGGUGAAAUGCGUAGAGAUGUGGAGGAACACCAGUGGCGAAGGCGACUCUCUGGUCUGUAACUGGCGCUGAGGAGCGAAAGCGUGGGGAGCGAACAGGAUUAGAUACCCUGGUAGUCCACGCCGUAAACGAUGAGUGCUAAGUGUUAGGGGUUUCCGCCCCUUAGUGCUGCAGCUAACGCAUUAAGCACUCCGCCUGGGGGAGUACGGUCGCAAGACUGAAACUCAAAGGAAUUGACGGGGGCCCGCACAAGCGGUGGAGCAUGUGGUUUAAUUCGAAGCAACGCGAAGAACCUUACCAGGUCUUGACAUCCUCUGACAACCCUAGAGAUAGGGCUUUCCCUUCGGGGACAGAGUGACAGGUGGUGCAUGGUUGUCGUCAGCUCGUGUCGUGAGAUGUUGGGUUAAGUCCCGCAACGAGCGCAACCCUUGAUCUUAGUUGCCAGCAUUCAGUUGGGCACUCUAAGGUGACUGCCGGUGACAAACCGGAGGAAGGUGGGGAUGACGUCAAAUCAUCAUGCCCCUUAUGACCUGGGCUACACACGUGCUACAAUGGACAGAACAAAGGGCUGCAAGACCGCAAGGUUUAGCCAAUCCCAUAAAUCUGUUCUCAGUUCGGAUCGCAGUCUGCAACUCGACUGCGUGAAGCUGGAAUCGCUAGUAAUCGCGGAUCAGCAUGCCGCGGUGAAUACGUUCCCGGGCCUUGUACACACCGCCCGUCACACCACGAGAGUUUGCAACACCCGAAGUCGGUGAGGUAACCU